RNAcentral lists this ribosomal RNA (253 nucleotides) under uncultured bacterium. RNAcentral describes it as "partial 16S ribosomal RNA". It matches the Rfam family "Bacterial small subunit ribosomal RNA", at positions 524 to 776 of the family's 1533-position model. The record is from RNAcentral.
UACGGGGGGGGCAAGCGUUGUUCGGAAUUACUGGGCGUAAAGGGUUCGUAGGUGGCCAACUAAGUCAGACGUGAAAUCCCUCAGCUUAACUGGGGAACUGCGUCUGAGACUGGAUGGCUUGAGUGCAGGAGAGGAACGCGGAAUUCCAGGUGUAGCGGUGAAAUGCGCAGAUAUCGGGAGGAACACCAAUGGCGAAGGCAGCUCGCUGGGACGUUACUGACGCUGAGACGCGAAAGCGUGGGGAGCAAACAGG